GCUGGGUGAGGUGGCUCAUGCCUGUGAUCCCAGCAACCCAGGAGGCUGAAACAGGAGGGUCACAAGUUCAAAAGCCAGCCUCAACAAUUAUACAAGGCCCUCAGCAAUUUAAUGAGAUUCUGUCUCAAAAUAGAAAAUAAAACUAGGGAUGGGGAUGCAGCUCAGUGGUAGAGGCUGGCUUUUGAACUUGUGACCCUCCUGUUUCAG
RNAcentral lists this small RNA (207 nucleotides) under Marmota monax (woodchuck). The record is from RNAcentral. Lineage: Eukaryota; Metazoa; Chordata; Mammalia; Rodentia; Sciuridae.